Molecule: ribosomal RNA, 488 nt
Filed under: Lygodactylus sp. 15 aff. tolampyae B MV-2021
Lineage: Eukaryota; Metazoa; Chordata; Lepidosauria; Squamata; Gekkonidae
Description: partial large subunit ribosomal RNA
Rfam family: Bacterial large subunit ribosomal RNA
Source: RNAcentral
AACGGCCGCGGUAUCCUAACCGUGCAAAGGUAGCGCAAUCACUUGCCCCUUAAUUAUGGGCUAGUAUGAACGGUUACAUGAGGGUUUAACUGUCUCCUAUGACCAAUCAAUGAACUUGAUCACUCAGUACAAACGCUGAAAUAAAACCACAAGACGAGAAGACCCUGUGGAACUUUAAGUUUAUUCACUAGCAAAUAAGAGGUAGACCUCACUAUUUUUAACCUAGCGAAAACUUUCAGUUGGGGCAACUACGGAGUAAAACAAAACCUCCACGCACCGCAACUAACACUUGCACCCCAGGCCCACACGCCUACCACCACAUCAGACCCAGCAAGGCUGAUCAACGAACCAAGCUACCCCAGGGAUAACAGCGCCAUCCCCUUCAAGAGUCCAUAUCGCCAGGGGGGUUUACGACCUCGAUGUUGGAUCAGGACCCCCAGGCGGUGUAGCCGCUGCCAAAGGUUCGUUUGUUCAACGAAUAACGUCCU